GACGAACGCUGGCGGCGUGCCUAAUACAUGCAAGUAGAACGCACAGUUUAUACCGUAGCUUGCUACACCAUAGACUGUGAGUUGCGAACGGGUGAGUAACGCGUAGGUAACCUGCCUGGUAGCGGGGGAUAACUAUUGGAAACGAUAGCUAAUACCGCAUAAUAUUAAUUAUUGCAUGAUAAUUAAUUGAAAGGUGCAAUUGCACCACUACCAGAUGGUCCUGCGUUGUAUUAGCUAGUAGGUGAGGUAACGGCUCACCUAGGCGACGAUACAUAGCCGACCUGAGAGGGUGGUCGGCCACACUGGGACUGAGACACGGCCCAGACUCCUACGGGAGGCAGCAGUAGGGAAUCUUCGGCAAUGGACGAAAGUCUGACCGAGCAACGCCGCGUGAGUGAAGAAGGUUUUCGGAUCGUAAAGCUCUGUUGUAAGAGAAGAACGGGUGUGAGAGUGGAAAGUUCACACUGUGACGGUAUCUUACCAGAAAGGGACGGCUAACUACGUG
RNAcentral lists this ribosomal RNA (505 nucleotides) under uncultured bacterium. Its description in RNAcentral is "partial 16S ribosomal RNA". It matches the Rfam family "Bacterial small subunit ribosomal RNA", at positions 28 to 507 of the family's 1533-position model. The record is from RNAcentral.